UUUUCAGCUUGGUUCCCAAGGCAAAAUCACACCGGAAGUAAAGAUACCCAGUUUUGAGUUAUGGCGGCCAUUGUCUGACGUCACUGUGAAAAGGGUCUAUUAAUCUGUGAUUGGAUGAGCUGAAAUGCCCAUCCAAUCAUGUUUCAUUUUACUGACGUCUCGAAUUGCUCAUUACAUAAUCUCGCGCAAGUUUACUAGAAAAUAAAUCGUACCUGAGGCUGCAGCUUUUUUGUGGUAGCAGAACUAAAAAGAAAAUAUGUAUGUUUUAAUUAGGUGGGUUAAAGAAAAUAAGAUCAGUGUGGGCAGUGACACAUUUGUGAAAAACAAAAAAAUGCUUUUUGACCCGAAGAGGAUCGGCUGGGUGGAACAUGGGGUCAUUGGGAAGAAACCACCGAAGGAUGGUUGGAAAGCCUUGCUCAGAUUCUCAAAGUAAAUGGUAAGAACAUAUUUUUAGUAAUGUGUCCUUUUUCUCACUAAACACAAAUGAAUGAAAUAUAUAACUUUUUUUGAUUCUUAUUCAAUACUUGUACUGUUCUUUUGCUUUUAUGUAUACAUAUAACAGAAAGUCUCCAGGUCAUUCGGGACGCUGAGAAACGCUGGGUAGAAAACAAAAAGAUCCGUCCACAAAAUUCAAAGGUGUGUGUGUGUGUGUUUUAUGUUCGAAGAUCAUUGUUAACAGACUGACUGGUUAGUUCCCUCAGCUCUUAGUAGAGACGACUUAACGCUAGCUUAGCUGAAACAGGUGCUCGCGCUGCUGUUGAGCGACCGUUAACUCAGCAACAGCGCGAGCUCGGUUUUUUUUCUCUAAAGGGAGCGGGGGUCGGGGGAGGGGGGGAGCCCCACCCAUCCUUACUCUUCGAUCGAAGUUGAAAUCUGCCUGACUUCACAAAUUAAAUAAACCAAGCACAGCGCACUUCUGAGCUGCUUGUGUGUUUGCGUGUGUGUGUCAACGGUUCACUUGCGGGAUUGGUUCACUCAGUUCACUAAGAAAAACAUUUUGGUUCGGUGGAAAUUAUUAUUAAUAUUUUUAAAUUACAUUUAAAGGUAAACCUUACGUUUUUUCUGUUUUCUAAUCUCUAAUCAGGCUAAUCAGCCUCAGGCCUCCAAUAAUUCAGAAGACGACGACGACGCAGAGACAACCUGUGAUCCUUCGGAUCAUGUAAGAUGCAGGCAACACACAUACAUACUUUUUUGUAUAUGCCAUAUAUAUUAUACAUAGUUCAUACACAUAUACAAAUAAGGAGCUUUAUAUAUAUAAAUUUUUCCCCUUGUUUAAUGGUUGAGUCAUACUAAUAGUUUUUGUUCACAACAUCAGACAGACGACAAAUCUCAGAUUACAGAGUUGGAGGAUCACAACAAAAAGUUAGAGGAAUAAUUGGAAAGAAGGAUAAGGAAAUAAAGAGACUUCGAAGGGCAAAUUUGCUACUACAAGACGGUAAGUUCACAAAUCUCUUACAAAAUGGUUGCCAAAUAACUUCUUAUGUCUGAUGUCUUAUAUUGUGAUUCAGGACUGUCAGACACAAUAUAUAAAAGUGUCAAGGAAGCAGUCAAGGCUGUCCAGCAGUCAUCCAGUUCUUCCAACCAAUUACAGUCUAAAGAAGGAGAGGUAUGUCUAUGAGCUGGUGUUAGAAGUCAUGUGAAUAGUUUCAGAUAAAAGACAUGAUAUAUUUUGGAGUUUAUAUAAAAUUAUUUUUUUAUAUUUACAGAGUGUGUCUUUGAAAAAUCAUACAGCAAACUGUGUGGGACUUGACUACACUCAGCGGUACAGCGGUUUCAAAAAAAUGACUAGAAACGUGGUGGACUCCCUCUUCACUCUUGAAGAAAUAUCAACAUGUUCAGUGACUGGAAAGAAAGGAAUUCUUGGAAAUAGAAAGAGAAGCCUUGACCAGUGUAACAAGUGUGUAAAACUGUUUAUAUUUCACCUCAAAUCCAUCCUCAUUACCUGUGUAUAUUUGUUUUUCUUAGUUUUUGAAUUGUAUUUUAUUUUGGCGGAGAAGCUUUUAUUUUCUUGUUUCCUGUCUCCGUGUCAUAUCCUGUGUGUUCGCGCUGCCCUCCUCAGUUCGCGCCAAGCUGCGCUGGGGAGAGGUAAGCGUACAAAGUUGUCUUGUGUUUGUCUGUUGAAGUAUUCAAAAUGUCCUUAAAAGUAUUUUUGCCAAACUCGCAAGUUUUUAUAUGUUGUUUCCCAACUGUUUUAUGUUUAGCGCAGCACUGUACUGGGCACUUAAUUCCCACGUUAAGGACAUUUAUUGAGUUUACCGUGCCAAUGUGGUUAUUUUUGUUCUUUUGAUUUGUUAAGGUGUGUGUGGGAAAGCCAGAGCCCAAGAACUGGAGUGCUGAUGCAUUUUUUGUUUUAAACAGAGAAUUUUGGUUGGUUUUACCACAGUCCUGAGUUCGCGCCAAGCUGCGCUGGGGAGAGGUGUGUGUGGGAAAGCCAGAGCCCAAGAACUGGAGUGCUGAUGCAUUUUUUGUUUUAAACAGAAUAAAUCUGCCCUACUGCUGCAAUACA
Long non-coding RNA from Xiphophorus hellerii (green swordtail), 2506 nucleotides. RefSeq lists it as uncharacterized. The record is from RefSeq and is a predicted model, not a curated record. Lineage: Eukaryota; Metazoa; Chordata; Actinopteri; Cyprinodontiformes; Poeciliidae. The transcript has 2 exons.